AGCGAACGCUGGCGGCAGGCCUAACACAUGCAAGUCGAACGGAUCCUUCGGGAUUAGUGGCGGACGGGUGAGUAACACGUGGGAACGUGCCUUUUGGUUCGGAACAACUCAGGGAAACUUGAGCUAAUACCGGAUAAGCCCUUCGGGGGAAAGAUUUAUCGCCAUUAGAGCGGCCCGCGUCUGAUUAGCUAGUUGGUGAGGUAAAGGCUCACCAAGGCUACGAUCAGUAGCUGGUCUGAGAGGAUGAUCAGCCACAUUGGGACUGAGACACGGCCCAAACUCCUACGGGAGGGCAGCAGUGGGGAAUCUUGCGCAAUGGGCGAAAGCCUGACGCAGCCAUGCCGCGUGAAUGAUGAAGGUCUUA
RNAcentral lists this ribosomal RNA (364 nucleotides) under uncultured bacterium. RNAcentral's name for it is "bacterial SSU rRNA". It matches the Rfam family "Bacterial small subunit ribosomal RNA", at positions 29 to 419 of the family's 1533-position model. The record is from RNAcentral.